RNAcentral lists this ribosomal RNA (563 nucleotides) under uncultured bacterium. Its description in RNAcentral is "bacterial SSU rRNA". It matches the Rfam family "Bacterial small subunit ribosomal RNA", at positions 338 to 916 of the family's 1533-position model. The record is from RNAcentral.
CCUACGGGAGGCAGCAGUGGGGAAUUUUCCGCAAUGGGCGAAAGCCUGACGGAGCAACGCCGCGUGAGGGAUGAAGGCCUCUGGGCUGUAAACCUCUUUUAUCAAGGAAGAAGAUCUGACGGUACUUGAUGAAUAAGCCACGGCUAAUUCCGUGCCAGCAGCCGCGGUAAUACGGGAGUGGCAAGCGUUAUCCGGAAUUAUUGGGCGUAAAGCGUCCGCAGGCGGUCUUGUAAGUCUGUCGUUAAAGCGUGGAGCUUAACUCCAUUUCGGCGGUGGAAACUACAAGACUAGAGUGUGGUAGGGGCAGAGGGAAUUCCCGGUGUAGCGGUGAAAUGCGUAGAUAUCGGGAAGAACACCAGUGGCGAAGGCGCUCUGCUGGGCCAUAACUGACGCUCAUGGACGAAAGCUAGGGGAGCGAAAGGGAUUAGAUACCCCUGUAGUCCUAGCCGUAAACGAUGAACACUAGGUGUCGGGGGAAUCGACCCCCUCGGUGUCGUAGCUAACGCGUUAAGUGUUCCGCCUGGGGAGUACGCACGCAAGUGUGAACUCAAAGGAAUUGACGG